RNAcentral lists this ribosomal RNA (120 nucleotides) under uncultured bacterium. RNAcentral's name for it is "partial 16S ribosomal RNA". It matches the Rfam family "Bacterial small subunit ribosomal RNA", at positions 29 to 147 of the family's 1533-position model. The record is from RNAcentral.
AGCGAACGUUAGCGGGAGGCUUAACACAUGCAAGUCGAGCGAGAAAAGGGCUUCGGCCCCCAGUACAGCGGCGGACGGGUGAGUAACACGUGGAUAAUCUGCCCUUUGGCGGGGGACAAC